This is a long non-coding RNA of Cyanoderma ruficeps (rufous-capped babbler), 2020 nucleotides long. Lineage: Eukaryota; Metazoa; Chordata; Aves; Passeriformes; Timaliidae. The record is from Ensembl.
AUGAACUGGGACGAACUGGGAACCAUCAAAAACCCAGCAGCACCAAACUGGGAUGAACUGGGAAGUCACUCAGAUGAACUGGGACGAACUGGUACAAACUGGAAACCAUCAAAAACCCAGCAGCACCAAACUGGGACGAACUGGUCCAGCCUUCAAACUGAACUGGGACUGAACUGGGCCAAACUGGGAGGCACUGGGAGGCUCAGAUGCGGCCGCUGUGCCUCAGUUUCUCCAGCAGGGCCUCCACGUUCUCCACCUUGUCCCCCCCGGCCCUGGGGGGCGGCUCCUGCACCUGCAGCACCUUCAGCCCCGGGAACGGCCCCGGGACCCCCAAAUCCGCCGCCGGGAUCACCUCCAGGGGCUUCUUCUUGGCUUUCUGCGGGAAAAUUCCGGAGAUUUGGGGGAAAAUUUGGGGAUUUUUGGGGAAAAUUUGGGGAUUUUUGGGGAAAAUUUGGGAUUUUUGGGGAAAAUUUGGGGAUUUUUGGGGAAAAUUUGGGGAUUUUUGGGGAAAAUUUGGGGAUUUNUUUUUUGGGGGGAUUUUUAGGGAAAUUUGGGGGACUUUGCAGAAAAUUCAGGGAAAUUAGGGAUUUGGGGGGAAUUUGGGGGAAAUUUGGGGAUUUUGGGGGGAUUUUUUGCCCACCAAUGACCCCAAUUCUUUGGGACAACAGGUCUACCCCCAAUGUAACUCUAUGGGGGGAAUUUUUGGGGUAAAACUUUGGCAUUUUGGAGAAUUUCCUGGGAAUUUUGAGGAUCCUGGAAAUGUGGAGAGUCCAAGGGAUUUAGAGGAUCCCAAAAAUUUUGGGAAGAAUCCCAGAAAUUUGGGGGGGGAUCCCAUCUCCCCCCACCCACCAAUGACCCCAGUUAUUUGGGACAACAGGUCUACCCCCAAUGUAACUCUAUGGGGGGAUUUUUGGGGUGAAACUCUGGGAUUUUGGGGAAUCUCCUGAAAAUUUUGAGGGUCCUGGAGAUGUGAGGAGCCUGACAGAUUUGGAGGAUCCCAAAAAUUUUGGGGGAUUUCAGGAAUUUUGGGGAGGGGACACCCGAAACGACCCAAAUUCUUUGGGACAACAGGUCUACCCCCAAUGCAACUCUAUGGGGGGAAUUUUUGGGGUAAAACUUUGGGAUUUUGAGGAAUUUCCUGGGAAUUUUGAGGAUCCAGGAGAUGUGAGGAGCCUGACAGAUUCAAAUGAUCCCCAAAAUUUUGAGGAGAAUCCCAGAAAUUUGGGGGAUCCCAUUUCUCCCCACCCAGCAUGACCCCAAUUCUUUGGGACAACAGGUCUACCCCCAAUGUAACUCUAUGGGGGGAAUUUUUGGGGUAAAACUUUGGGAUUUGGGGGAAAUUCCCAGGAAUUUUGAGGAUCCUGAAAAUGUGGAGAGUCUGACAGAUUCAGAGGAUCCCAAAAAUUUUGGGGGAUUUCAGGAAUUUUGGGGAGGGGACACCCAAAACGACCCCAAUUAUUCGGGACAACAAGUCUACCCCCAAUGUAACUCUAUGGGGGGAAUUUUUGGGGCGAAACUCCGGGAUUUCGGGGAAUCUCCCGGGGAUUUCGGGGACCCCUCCCCAGGCACNCCACCAUGAUGUUGGGCAGCGUGGCGUAGCGGGGCUCGUUGAGGCGCAGGUCAGCGGUCAGCACGGCCGGCAGGCGGAGCCGCAGCGUCUCCAGGCCGCCGUCCACCUCCCGCUGGACACGCACGGCCCCGGCCUCCAGCUCCACCCGCGAGGCGAAGGUGCCCUGGGGGAAGGGACUGGUGUGGACUGGGAGCCUCCCAGUAUGGACUGGGAAGGGUUGUCGCCCUCCGGGGGGCGUCCCAGUAUGAACUGGGGGCGUCCCAGUAUGAACUGGGGGUGUUCCAGUAUGACCUAGACCCUCCCAGUAUGAUCUAGACCUUCCCAAAAUGACCUAAACCCUCCCAGUACAAACUGGGACUCUCCCAGUAUGAUCCAGAUCCUCCCAGUAUGGACUGGGACCCUCCCAGUAUGACCUAGACCCUCCCAGUAUGAUCUAGAUCUUCUCAAAAU